UGAAAGAUGUGUCAUAUCAUGUGCCCUCUAUGAGGAGUUUUGGAUUAAGGUAAGAAAAUCAUGUGCUCUUAAACUUGAAUAUAUUAUAAACAUUGAUCUAGUGACUAACCUUUUUUGUACUUCUGUUGAAUGUUGUUCAUAUAACUAUAUCUGUUGCAUUAGGAGAUGGUCUGCUUGCAACCAGAUUUGACUGCUGCAUAUGCCAACCUCGUUGCCUCUCUUCGUCCUUCCUUACAGAAACUAGUCUAGUGGUUCAAUAAAGGUGCUGAAUGGGUUUAAAAAUAGAAUUUUAUCGUUCUGUCACAAAUUUAAUGGCUUGUUCAACUGUAAAUUAUUCAGUAUUUCCUCUUUUCUGUAUGUAGUAUGCCAAGUACAUGGAAAACCAUAGCAUUGAAGGAGUGAGGCAUGUCUUCAGCAGAGCUUGUACUAUACAUCUCCCAAAGAAACCCAUGGUGCAUAUGCUUUGGGCAGCUUUUGAGGAACAGCAGGGUAAUAUUAAUGAAGCCAGGAAUAUCUUGAGAACAUUUGAAGAAUGUGUUCUAGGAUUGGCAAUGGUUCGUUUACGAAGAGUAAGUUUAGAACGACGGCAUGGAAAUCUGGAAGAAGCUGAACAUUUGCUUCAGGAUGCCAUUAAGAAUGCCAAAUCAAAUAAUGAAUCUUCAUUUUAUGCUGUCAAACUAGCCCGGCAUCUUUUCAAAAUACAGAAAAACCUUCCAAAAUCAAGAAAGGUGCUUUUGGAAGCAAUCGAAAGAGACAAAGAGAACACAAAGUUAUACCUCAAUUUACUUGAAAUGGAAUAUAGUGGUGACCUCAAACAAAAUGAAGAAAAUAUCCUAAAUUGUUUUGACAAAGCUGUACAUGGUUCAUUACCUAUUAAAAUGAGAAUUACAUUUUCUCAGAGAAAAGUGGAAUUUCUUGAAGAUUUUGGUUCCGAUGUUAAUAAGCUUCUGAAUGCUUAUGAUGAACAUCAAACACUCCUGAAAGAACAGGAUUCUUUAAAAAGGAAAGCAGAAAAUGGAUCAGAAGAACCAGAGGAAAAGAAAGCACAUACAGAAGAUACAACUUCAUCAUCUACACAGAUGAUUGAUGGUGAUUUACAGGCAAACCAAGCUGUAUAUAAUUAUAGUGCGUGGUAUCAAGUGAGUCUGCAUAAUUACAAUUCUUUGUUCAUAGAUGUUAUUAGCAUAUAUUAGGAUAGUUUCUUUUUUUUAAAAAAAGUUUUUGUUCCAAUUGUGUAAUACAUUCUUUGGUGGUUAAGUACUAGAAUUUUAGCAGUGAACACUUGCUUGUUUUCUUAAACAUACCUGCUUUAAUUAUACUUUUACAUAUGGAACUCUGCCACAGUUCUAAUAUGCUAACAUACUUACUUUUUCCUUUCAGUACAAUUAUCAGAAUCCUUGGAAUUAUGGACAAUAUUAUCCUCCCCCUCCAACCUGAUGGGAAAAAUGUAAAUUUCAAAUGGAGUGUGUGAAAAGUAUGAAAUUAUUAUUUUUUUUAAUGAGGGAUGUAAACAGUAUAAGCUUGUUGUAUUUGAUAACCUGUCUUCCUUGUUUCUGUGUAACAUGAUUUGUUUAGUAAUAGGGGGAAAAUGUCAAUUAGUAGCUUACCACAGAUACUGUUUCCUACCAUUUAUAAAAUUUACUUUUUAUUGAAAAACUAUUUUUUGAUUUUUGCAUUAAGUGGUCUAGAAUUCUUUUGCAGUGCAUUUGCAACAGAAUUUUGUAGCCUUAAGGGGUAGGAAGAAAAAGCUGACUGCAAAUCAUGUCAGUGUAGUACAAAAUUCUGAAAACACAUAAGGGCUGGUUAUUUACCUCCUUUUUUUUUUUUUUUUUUUUUUUUUUUAAAGAAAAAAGGACUUUUAACCUUUGCUGACAAGGUUUUGUCUGUUUCAGUUAUACUUGUGAAUUGUGAUCUAACUGCAGAAAGGAUACAUUAUUGAAAUACUAUGCCUUGGAAUAGAGAUUAUGAAUGAGAAAAUGGAAUGUUUGCAUCCCUUUAAAAAUGAAAAUCAUAUCAAAAGUAUGUUUCAGGAGACUUUGUAUUUAGAAUAUUCAUGUAAAACUUGUGAACAAGCUUUCAUUUUGAUCAAACUGAUCUUCAUUUUUGUAAUAAAACGGAAGACUCAUCC
RNAcentral lists this small RNA (2128 nucleotides) under Pongo abelii (Sumatran orangutan). Its description in RNAcentral is "retained intron". The record is from RNAcentral. Lineage: Eukaryota; Metazoa; Chordata; Mammalia; Primates; Hominidae.